GACGAACGCUGGCGGCGUGCUUAACACAUGCAAGUCGAACGGAAAGGCCCUGCUUGCAGGGUACUCGAGUGGCGAACGGGUGCGUAACACGUGGGUGAUCUGCCCUGCACUUCGGGAUAAGCCUGGGAAACUGGGUCUAAUACCGGAUAGGAGCCAUUUUUAGUGUGAUGGUUGGACAGUUUUUUCGGUGUAGGAUGAGCUGGCGGCCUAUAAGCUUGUUGGGGGGGUAAUGGCCUACCAAGGCGGCGACGGGUAGGCGGACUGAGAGGGUGGACGGCCGCACUGGGACUGAGGUACGGCCCAGACGCCGACUGGAGGAAGCAGUGGGGAAGAUUGAACAAGGGGCGCAAGCCUGAUGAAGAGGCGCCGCGUGGGGGAUGACGGCCUUCGGGUUGAAAACUCCUUUCGCUAGGGACGAAGCUUUUUGUGACGGUACCUAGAUAAGAAGCACCGGCUAACUACGUG
Molecule: ribosomal RNA, 465 nt
Filed under: uncultured bacterium
Lineage: Bacteria
Description: partial 16S ribosomal RNA
Rfam family: Bacterial small subunit ribosomal RNA
Source: RNAcentral